RNAcentral lists this ribosomal RNA (239 nucleotides) under uncultured bacterium. Its description in RNAcentral is "partial 16S ribosomal RNA". It matches the Rfam family "Bacterial small subunit ribosomal RNA", at positions 15 to 263 of the family's 1533-position model. The record is from RNAcentral.
GAUCCUGGCUCAGGAUGAACGCUGGCGGCGUGCAUAACACAUUCAAGUCGAACGAGGCAGCAAUGCCUAGUGGCGGACGGGUGAGUAACGCGUGAGCAACCUGCCCUUGCGUGGGGGGAUACCAUCUGGAAACGGGAUGUUAAUACCGCAUAAGUACAAGCGACCGCAUGGUCGUAGUACCAAAGAUUUAUUGCGCAAGGAUGGGCUCGCGUCCCAUUAGAUAGUUGGUGAGGUGACGG